GGAUAGCUCAGUCGGUAGAGCACUAGACUCCUAAUCUCAGGGACGUGGGUUUCAGCCCAUAUUGGCCA
Podarcis lilfordi (Lilford's wall lizard) is the source of this 68-nucleotide non-coding RNA. The record is from the annotation of a GenBank genome assembly. NCBI's taxonomy places the organism in Eukaryota, Metazoa, Chordata, Lepidosauria, Squamata, Lacertidae.